RNAcentral lists this long non-coding RNA (1103 nucleotides) under Brassica napus (rape). RNAcentral describes it as "long non-coding RNA (BNAP_LNC004326)". Lineage: Eukaryota; Viridiplantae; Streptophyta; Magnoliopsida; Brassicales; Brassicaceae. The record is from RNAcentral.
CUACAAUCAAACAAGAACAUGACUGACCGUCCAACCCAACACCAUGGUCCGGAAGCAUUACGUGACGGGCUAGGGACGUUCCGGUCAGAGUCAUAAAAUUUACUCCACGACCUAGACCAGUUCAUCCACUAACUCGUCCUGCUAAAUCAAGGCACAAGGCUUUGCAACCCUGCCAAGAGUUAGCGUUUUCCGUUAGAUCGAGGCCUAAGGCUUUUCAACCCGUACUACGACCUAACGAUGAGUUAGACCGGACUAGUCAAAUAUCAGAGUACUCAUGAAGCGCAUAGAAAACAAUUACUUUAUUAAUUCGAGAAAUAUCCAUAAAUUGAUAUAAUUGAGACCAGUCCCGGCCAAAUGCCAAAAUGGAGUCAACUAAACACAAAUCCACAAUACCGUUUACAAAAGGCAUGAAAAUCUAUACCGGCGGUCCUAACGUCUAGCACCAAGCCAUCCAAUCAUCCUUACCUAAAGCGACCUGCAAAAAGGACAACGGAGUUGGAUGAGUAACCUAAUGUUACUCAGUGAGCUGGCGGCCUCUACCCGCAACCUAGGCUCUAACCCGGACAACCCAAAAUAAGAAUCAAUCUAGCCCUAGCAUGCAAUAAAAGCUAAGGCUAAGCAAACCGUUACUAAGUUAGACUUGUCCUCCUGCCAUGAUCUAGCUUCAAGUAACAGGAACCUGCAUUAAAACAAGUCAACAAGCAAUCCCUAGACUAUCCAAAUACCAUUGGCCGAUCGACCAACAAUCAAACAAGAACAUGAUCGGCCAACCAAUGAUACCGCAUAGUUUAAUAUCCACCACCCUUCACAAGCAAUCACUCAAACACAUAUAGGCCAACGUCAGGCCUACACUAACAAAAUACACAUCAAGCCUAAUCCGGUACCUAAGCCAGACUUAGGACUUAAUUCAGAACCUGCAAGCAAAUCAAUCAACCAAAAACACAAUCACAACUAUGAGUAUCUACGACUCGAUCUAACUCGUAACACCGUAUAUCAGCGCUACACUGACUCGAGGGUCCCAUAACCCUCUACGACACACUAACCCAACACUCUAACUUGGGCCCUGGUGACUUCGUGUUCCUCCUCUCUAUCGGCAAUAUCCU